UACGGAGGGUGCAAGCGUUGUUCGGAAUUAUUGGGCGUAAAGCGCGUGUAGGCGGUUGUAUAAGUCAGAUGUGAAAUCCUCCCGCUUAACGGGAGAAGUGCAUUUGAAACUAUACAACUGGAGUACGGGAGAGGAGAGUGGAAUUCCCGGUGUAGAGGUGAAAUUCGUAGAUAUCGGGAGGAACACCAGUGGCGAAGGCGGCUCUCUGGCCCGAUACUGACGCUGAGACGCGAAAGCGUGGGGAG
Molecule: ribosomal RNA, 245 nt
Filed under: uncultured bacterium
Lineage: Bacteria
Description: partial 16S ribosomal RNA
Rfam family: Bacterial small subunit ribosomal RNA
Source: RNAcentral